This 265-nucleotide ribosomal RNA is filed under the name Providencia rettgeri. Its description in RNAcentral is "partial 23S ribosomal RNA". It matches the Rfam family "Bacterial large subunit ribosomal RNA", at positions 1 to 266 of the family's 2925-position model. Lineage: Bacteria; Pseudomonadati; Pseudomonadota; Gammaproteobacteria; Enterobacterales; Morganellaceae. The record is from RNAcentral.
GGUUAAGCGACUAAGCGUACACGGUGGAUGCCUAGGCAAUCAGAGGCGAUGAAGGACGUGCUAAUCUGCGAUAAGCGUCGGUAAGGUGAUAUGAACCGUUACAACCGACGAUUUCCGAAUGGGGAAACCCAGUGCAAUUCGUUGCACUAUCGUUUGAUGAAUACAUAGUCAAACGAAGCGAACCGGGGGAACUGAAACAUCUCAGUACCCCGAGGAAAAGAAAUCAACCGAGAUUCCCCUAGUAGCGGCGAGCGAACGGGGAGCA